GUGCUCACUUUGGCAGCACAUAUACUAAAAUUGGAAUGAUACAGAGAAGAUUAGCAUGUCCCCUGCUCAAAGAUGACACGCGAAUUCUUGAAGUGUUCCAUAUUUUU
RNAcentral lists this small nuclear RNA (107 nucleotides) under Propithecus coquereli (Coquerel's sifaka). Lineage: Eukaryota; Metazoa; Chordata; Mammalia; Primates; Indriidae. The record is from RNAcentral.